GGGGGGAGGGAGUCCCGUGGCGGGAUUUGGGGGGAGGAAGUCCCGUUUCUUGAGUGUUUCUUCGUUUCUUUAAGAGCUCCCAGAAAGCAGCCCACCCCCACACCCAUUGAAAAAAAAAAAAAAUAAGCGAGUGGGGAAGAGCCAGCCCCACGCCGGUCCGCCUCCCGCCCGCGGCCAGGCCUCCCUCCCGCUCGCCGCCUGGCUCGGCGCUCCUUCGCCCCGAGUUCUCCAUCCCCUGGAUCCCGGGUUCGCGGGGCGCGGAGAAGAGGACCAAGGAAAGGGAGAUGAUCUGGGUGAGCCUGACCUAAUCAGUUGAGCCCUGGAUUGAAAGAGUGAGAAGGUUUGAAGUCCCAUCACUCCCUGGCUUUGGAGGUGAAGAGGACCGCACGGGAAGGGAUGCGAAAGGCCUGGAGAAGCUGAGCAUGAUGCCGACCUGACAGCCAGCAGAGAUGUUGGGGCAUCAGACCUGCAGCUACGAGGACUGGGACUGAGCCAGCAAGCUGAGCGACCCCGGAAGCAGAUUCUUCCAGAGCCCCCUCUCCCUGGACAAGAGUCCAGCUUCGCCGACGGCUGGAUUUUGGCCUUGAUUUUGGCAUGGAGAGCCAAAAUCAAGGUGAGCCUGCCCCAACUUCUGCCCCAAGGAACUGUGAGACAAUAAACGGGUCUUGUUUUCAGCCGCUAA
Balaenoptera ricei (Rice's whale) is the source of this 682-nucleotide long non-coding RNA. RefSeq lists it as uncharacterized. The record is from RefSeq and is a predicted model, not a curated record. Lineage: Eukaryota; Metazoa; Chordata; Mammalia; Artiodactyla; Balaenopteridae. The transcript is spliced from 2 exons.